Molecule: ribosomal RNA, 468 nt
Filed under: uncultured bacterium
Lineage: Bacteria
Description: partial 16S ribosomal RNA
Rfam family: Bacterial small subunit ribosomal RNA
Source: RNAcentral
GACGAACGCUGGCGGCGUGCUUAACACAUGCAAGUCGAACGGAAAGGCCCUGCUUUUGUGGGGUGCUCGAGUGGCGAACGGGUGAGUAACACGUGAGUAACCUGCCCUUGACUUUGGGAUAACUUCAGGAAACUGGGGCUAAUACCGGAUAGGAGCCCCUGCUGCAUGGUGGGGGUUGGAAAGUUUCGGCGGUUGGGGAUGGACUCGCGGCUUAUCAGCUUGUUGGUGGGGUAGUGGCUUACCAAGGCUUUGACGGGUAGCCGGCCUGAGAGGGUGACCGGCCACAAUGGUACUGAGAUACGGCCCAGACUCCUACAGGAGGCAGCAGUGGGGAAUAUUGCACAAUGGGCGGGAGCCUGAUGCAGCAACGCCGCGUGCGGGAUGACGGCCUUCGGGUUGUAAACCGCUUUCGCCUGUGACGAAGCGUGAGUGACGGUAAUGGGUAAAGAAGCACCGGCUAACUACGUG